RNAcentral lists this ribosomal RNA (253 nucleotides) under uncultured bacterium. Its description in RNAcentral is "partial 16S ribosomal RNA". It matches the Rfam family "Bacterial small subunit ribosomal RNA", at positions 524 to 776 of the family's 1533-position model. The record is from RNAcentral.
UACGUAGGCAGCGAGCGUUGUUCGGAAUUACUGGGCGUAAAGCGUGCGUAGGCGGUGCCUCAAGUUUGGUGUGAAAUCCCUCGGCUCAACCGGAGAACGACGCAUGAAACUGGCAAGCUAGAGUACCAAAGAGGGGGGUGGAAUUCCCGGUGUAGCGGUGAAAUGCGUAGAUAUCAGGAGGAACACCGGUGGUGUAAACGGCUUUCUGGACCAUAACUGACGCUGAGGCACGAAAGCGUGGGUAGCAAACAGG